CCCUACGGGGCGCAGCAGUGGGGAAUAUUGCACAAUGGGGGAAACCCUGAUGCAGCGACGCCGCGUGAGUGAAGAAGUAUUUCGGUAUGUAAAGCUCUAUCAGCAGGGAAGAAAAUGACGGUACCUGACUAAGAAGCCCCGGCUAACUACGUGCCAGCAGCCGCGGUAAUACGUAGGGGGCAAGCGUUAUCCGGAUUUACUGGGUGUAAAGGGAGCGUAGACGGCAUGGCAAGUCAGAUGUGAAAGCCCGGGGCUCAACCCCGGGACUGCAUUGGGAACUACCGGGCUGGAGUGCCGGAGAGGCA
This 305-nucleotide ribosomal RNA is filed under the name uncultured bacterium. Its description in RNAcentral is "bacterial SSU rRNA". It matches the Rfam family "Bacterial small subunit ribosomal RNA", at positions 337 to 659 of the family's 1533-position model. The record is from RNAcentral.